This is a long non-coding RNA of Daphnia pulicaria, 337 nucleotides long. RefSeq lists it as uncharacterized. The transcript has 3 exons. The record is from RefSeq and is a predicted model, not a curated record. Lineage: Eukaryota; Metazoa; Arthropoda; Branchiopoda; Diplostraca; Daphniidae.
GGGCCAUCAAAACCUUAGCGUCGUCAAAGAGCAACAACAGUCGAGAUGUGGUCUUGGACGAGUUCCCGAAAUGGCUGAAACGUUCCAUGGACCGGAUAAAAGACACUAACACGCACCAAAACACCAAGUUGAAGAGGAUCACCAACGAAAAAAAGGAGAAUCGCCUGUCAGUGUGCCAGGGCAGCAACGCAGCAACAACAAGAAGGAAAAGAAGAAAAACAAUUCCAAAGAAGAUGAUCUCACUUACGGCACGCGGGAUUGCGACAUUGCCAUGGUGGACAGGAUCAAGGCCGGAACUUUAGACAUGGAUUACUUCUGUCUCGGCUGUCAUGUGGAA